AAAUUGAAGAGUUUGAUCAUGGCUCAGAUUGAACGCUGGCGGCAGGCCUAACACAUGCAAGUCGAACGGUAACAGGAAGCAGCUUGCUGCUUCGCUGACGAGUGGCGGACGGGUGAGUAAUGUCUGGGAAACUGCCUGAUGGAGGGGGAUAACUACUGGAAACGGUGGCUAAUACCGCAUAACGUCGCAAGACCAAAGAGGGGGACCUUCGGGCCUCUUGCCAUCAGAUGUGCCCAGAUGGGAUUAGCUUGUUGGUGAGGUAACGGCUCACCAAGGCGACGAUCCCUAGCUGGUCUGAGAGGAUGACCAGCCACACUGGAACUGAGACACGGUCCAGACUCCUACGGGAGGCAGCAGUGGGGAAUAUUGCACAAUGGGCGCAAGCCUGAUGCAGCCAUGCCGCGUGUAUGAAGAAGGCCUUCGGGUUGUAAAGUACUUUCAGCGGGGAGGAAGGUGUUGUGGUUAAUAACCACAGCAAUUGACGUUACCCGCAGAAGAAGCACCGGCUAACUCCGUGCCAGCAGCCGCGGUAAUACGGAGGGUGCAAGCGUUAAUCGGAAUUACUGGGCGUAAAGCGCACGCAGGCGGUCUGUCAAGUCGGAUGUGAAAUCCCCGGGCUCAACCUGGGAACUGCAUUCGAAACUGGCAGGCUUGAGUCUUGUAGAGGGGGGUAGAAUUCCAGGUGUAGCGGUGAAAUGCGUAGAGAUCUGGAGGAAUACCGGUGGCGAAGGCGGCCCCCUGGACAAAGACUGACGCUCAGGUGCGAAAGCGUGGGGAGCAAACAGGAUUAGAUACCCUGGUAGUCCACGCCGUAAACGAUGUCUACUUGGAGGUUGUGCCCUUGAGGCGUGGCUUCCGAAGCUAACGCGUUAAGUAGACCGCCUGGGGAGUACGGCCGCAAGGUUAAAACUCAAAUGAAUUGACGGGGGCCCGCACAAGCGGUGGAGCAUGUGGUUUAAUUCGAUGCAACGCGAAGAACCUUACCUGGUCUUGACAUCCACAGAACUUUCCAGAGAUGGAUUGGUGCCUUCGGGAACUGUGAGACAGGUGCUGCAUGGCUGUCGUCAGCUCGUGUUGUGAAAUGUUGGGUUAAGUCCCGCAACGAGCGCAACCCUUAUCCUUU
This 1123-nucleotide ribosomal RNA is filed under the name Salmonella enterica. Its description in RNAcentral is "bacterial SSU rRNA". It matches the Rfam family "Bacterial small subunit ribosomal RNA", at positions 1 to 1113 of the family's 1533-position model. Lineage: Bacteria; Pseudomonadati; Pseudomonadota; Gammaproteobacteria; Enterobacterales; Enterobacteriaceae. The record is from RNAcentral.